This 1412-nucleotide long non-coding RNA is filed under the name Vulpes vulpes (red fox). RNAcentral describes it as "lncRNA (ENSVVUG00000022405.1)". The record is from RNAcentral. Lineage: Eukaryota; Metazoa; Chordata; Mammalia; Carnivora; Canidae.
AGAAACUAUUUCCUGGGCUAAGACUCCAAGUCCAGGGCUCUUGUCCCCAGAGGACCUGUCUCCUAGAGCCAGAAAGGAAUUCUACAGUGAACACAGGGUUAAAGUAAACUCUUGCAGCUGAAAGUCUGGAAUUCUGGCUAACAAUACCUAAAUAUCUUUAGUCAGCACCAAAGUGGAAAUUGUGCACUAAUUGGAGUUCAGUGAUGCAGAUAAUAUGGAAUGGAGUACACGGGCUGACAGAAAAUUCUCUCCAGCAGCUGAGCUACUUUCACUACAUUUCAGCCCUAACAACAGAACCCAAAACAAAAAAAGAACACUUACCAUCUUUUACAACUAGUAUUCUAAAGAACAAGAGUUUGGGAACAUUUCUGAGCCUUGAGUACUGAAGUCAUUUCCUUAGAAGCGUGAACACAGAAGUAGUGAAGAUGGAGGGGAACUGGGACUAGGCAAAGGGGACCAGUCUCUCGGGUCUGGGCUAUUUGCUGAUCAUGUAAGUUCAAGUCCUCAGACAACUAAAAGGGGUCCAGGACCCAGAUCUCAGGCCGACAGCCUGCCCAGCUGCUCAUGGUAGAUAGAACUUACAGAAUGGUGCAACCAUAUAGUUUUCUCAAAAAGAUUUUUUUGUUGUAUUGAAUUAGGUACAGAAUGUCUGCAAGUAAUCAAACACACCUGAAGACCCUUCGAGAGAUAGGAAAAUAUCAAGAUCCAGAGCACAGCUUCCGGAGCCAUUCUGCCUGGAAUCAGGUCAUCAUUCCACACCUGACCCAGGGCUUCUUGAUUCACCUAGCUUCACAAGAGCCAAGAGGUAAUUAUAAAACUUUACUCUCCAUAUUUUUUCAGCUCUUUCUUUCUGUUUGUUUGCUCUUAUUUCUAUGGAGACCUGUUUUAUCCUACUACACACAUGGACACUCAUGGCUACCUUCAAAAGAAAGCCCAACUACCCCCAUCCUCUGCUAGGCCAGCACCCCACAAACAGUAGACUCACUCUCUGUGCUCAGUUGUAUCAGGGCCUGCCACCCCAGCCUCAGGAUCCCUGUAAGAAAUGGUACCUUCUGUUCCUUAAGGCUACCCCUUCCAUGUGUCUGCACAGUUCCUGGUCUCCACAAAGAGAAUGUGCUCCACAGGAGGAAAUACUGAGCAUGUGUGGUGCUGUGUCCUGAGGCUGGGUUCAUCCCAGGCACACUGAACACCAGGUCAAGACAGUAGACAGUGGCUAGACUCUGAGUCAUCAGUAGAGAGGGAGUUCUCCACUCUACCUGACUAGCUGGGCUUCCAUUGACUCAGGACCAGAGCAAGAUUCAGCACCCGGGUAAUAGGAUUUUACAACAGAUCUAUGGGUCAGCCACGGUGGCUGGUAACUGACAUCAGGUACAGAAAUAACUAGGAGACAUGGAAGGAUUUGCUUAUUUCCA